CCUGCCAGUGCGCAUACGCUCUUUUUAAAGAUUAAGCCAUGCAUGUGAAAGUUCAUACAUUUUUAAUGUGAGACUGCGGACGGCUCAGUAUAUCAGUUAUAAUCUGCUCGAUUGUUAAGGUUAUUGGAUAACCGUGGGAAAUCUAGAGCUAAUACAUGCACCUCUCGGCGGGGGGCUUGCUCUCCGUCGAUUGCAUUUAUUAGAGCGAUACCAACCGUGUGUUUGCACACGUGGCGAAUCUAGAUAACUGUGCAGAUCGUAUGGCCUUGCGCUGACGACAUUUCGAUUGAAUUUCUGCCCUAUCAACUCUGUUGGCAGUGUAGUGGACUGCCAAGGUUUUUACGGGUAACGGGGAAUCAGGGUUCGAUUCCGGAGAGGGAGCCUGAGAAACGGCUACCACAUCCAAGGAAGGCAGCAGGCGCGCAAAUUACCCAAUCCAGACAAUGGGAGGUGGUGACGAAAAGUACCGGAUGGCGACUUAUUAUCGCCAGUUUGGAAUGAAAACAAUUUAAGCAAUUGAAUUGAGUAACGACUGGAGGGCAAGUCUGGUGCCAGCAGCCGCGGUAAUUCCAGCUCCAGUAGCGUACAGCAACGUUGCUGCGCUUAAAACGCUCGUAGUUGGAUCACUCACUGUGCUUCGGUGUACACAAACGUGCGUGCCCGUCUCUCGUCAAACCAGUUUUAUGUCCUGCGUCACUGUCGGGUUAAGGGGUGCGUCGUUGUAAUAAUUAGCCGUUGUGCAGUAAUUGCACGUGAGGAUGGCCGUUGACCUUUAGUGCGUUGAGGGUUGUGUCUCACGGGGUGUGCCUUGAGUAAAUCAGAGUGCUUAAAGCAGGCUUUACGCUUGAAUGUUAUUAGCAUGGAACGAACAAUAGUGUAUGGUGUGUGCUGAGAACGGUAGGUGGCGCACGCGCUGCCUACUACAGCAUACGACACCGACCGCCAAUCACGGAUGUUGGUUCCGUAUUGGGGUACUGAUUAAGAGGAGCGGUUGGGGGCAUUGGUAUUUGGCAGCGAGAGGUGAAAUUCUUGGACCUGCCAAGGACUAACAAAUGCGAAGGCAUCUGUCCAGACCGUAUCCAUUAAUCAAGAACGAAAGAGAGAGGUUCGAAGACGAUCAGAUACCGUCCUAGUUCUCUCUGUAAACUAUGCCGACCCGGGAUCAGUUUGGAGCUAUUUAUGCUCGCUCGAGGUUGGUCCCCCUGGGAAACCUUAAGUUUUUCGGUUGCGGGGGGAGUAUGGUCGCAAGGCUGAAACUUAAAGGAAUUGACGGAAGGGCACCACCAGGGGUGGAGCCUGCGGCUUAAUUUGACUCAACACGGGUAAACUUACCUAGUUCAGACAUCAAAAGGAUAACAGACAGAUCUUUCUUGAUAUGGUGAUUGGUGGUGCAUGGCCGUUCUUAGUUCGUGGAGUGAUCUGUCAGGCCAAUCCCGGUAACGAACGAGACCACAUCUCCAUUUGACGAG
This 1469-nucleotide ribosomal RNA is filed under the name Henneguya sp. n. IH-2018. RNAcentral's name for it is "SSU rRNA". It matches the Rfam family "Eukaryotic small subunit ribosomal RNA", at positions 13 to 1363 of the family's 1831-position model. The record is from RNAcentral. Lineage: Eukaryota; Metazoa; Cnidaria; Myxozoa; Bivalvulida; Myxobolidae.